RNAcentral lists this unclassified non-coding RNA (1636 nucleotides) under Hevea brasiliensis (rubber tree). Lineage: Eukaryota; Viridiplantae; Streptophyta; Magnoliopsida; Malpighiales; Euphorbiaceae. The record is from RNAcentral.
AUGGCUAGUAAAAUUAUCACGGGUGUCCUUUCCUCUGAAGCUAAUGAAGACAUCAUACUUCCAUUCAUGAGCAGUGGAACAAGUUGCCAUAAUGGACUCAUACAGUAUCUUGAAUGGCAAAAUCACUUCAGAAUAGGAAUCAAUAAAGGCCCCCUCUUUUCCUGAGAAACUAAAACAAAAUUAUCUUCAACCAAGAAAGAAAAAAUAGAAAUAAUCAAGAAUAUAAGUAAAAAGAAGUGUUCUGCAUGAACUGAAUCCACCAUUACAUGGAUACGUGUCUGCAACUUCCCAACCAUAAAAUGCAUUUUGUGAUUUUCCCUCAACCAUCAAACAUUUAUUUUUUAUAGAAGGAUCACGAUAAUACGUUUUGGUCAUUGUUGAAUUAAAAGAAAAAUUAUUGUCCCUUUUACUAAAUUGUUUAACAGAUUUGUAAGAAACAGUUGAAUGAACCUAAGUUCACCAUCCUUCCAAAUAAAAGAAUAAAGCUCAAUCUCGAUUACCCAAAUUCAAGUUCAUCUCAGAAUUGGAUUCAAUAAACAUGAGCUGUUCAAAUGAGAGGAUAGAUCAGAAACGCAUAAACCAGCAAACUGCAAUGAAUACCUCAAAACACAGUUAUUAAAUGACGAAGGUGCACUAAGGCAUCAAGGGGGAAGCUUAGGCACAAAGCGCAUGCGUACGCCUGAGUGAGGUGAGGUGCAAUGGAAGAAAAUACAAAAUAUAUCAGUAAUUAUUGUAUUUUGUAUAUUAAAAAACGUUUUUGAGUGAAAGGUUAAUAAGAAUUAUAUUUUUCUUUUCAUUCUUUUGACUUUAAUUGAAGAAAAAAAUCAAAUAUUGUUAAAUAAAAAUUCAUUGAUGCAUUAAUAAGACAUUCAGGAAACUAAAGAAAAGUCAGUUUAUUUUACAGAAGCUUUUAUUUUGCAUUUUGAACUAAUUAUUGUAGAUAUUCAUCUAACAUCUAACAGAAUUAUUAAAUUGGCAGGCGACAAAAUUGGAAAUAAAGUCAGAGUGGGUAUGAAUAGUCACAGACACAGUCACAAAUAUGCCAGAGAAGAAAGAAAAUCCAGCACCUACAAGAUUAACAUGUUUAAAUUGAGAGAAUAAAUCAAUAAAAUAAACAGUCACAUUAAGCUAGAAAAAAUAAAGCAUGCGAUCAGAGUGAAUUGCAAUUACAGUAUGCCAUAAUUAUCAACAUUCAUUCAAGCAAUUGUUUCUUAGGUUGUGUUCUGUCAAAUAAUAGGUUCCCAAAAUUAGGAAUUCAAUUUUUACGUUUGAAUCAGCUUCACAUAAAUGUAGAGGAUGAAGGCAAAUUGUUACUGCAAAUAACAAAGACGAUACAACAAAAUAACUUGUGACAUAGUUCCAAAUGAAGCGAACAAGUGUCUCAGCACGAAGACAAUCCCUUUCCCUCAAAGAUUCCCGUUUAUAUGUAACACACAAUUAAUGUUGCAUAUAUUGGGCUCCAUAAAAUUAGAAAGAAAAAGAGCAAAUGUGUUAGUGGGUGAGGGCGGAGAGAAAGCAGCAAAAAGAGAAGAUCGAAGGAAAAAAAAAAAAAAGCAUGAACCCAUGGCUGGAGAGAGAUGAGGCGAGCAGGCAGAGAAGAGGAUGAAGACCGUCUGAGGUUGCUUGUACCAAAAUG